GGUUAAGCGACUAAGCGUACACGGUGGAUGCCCUGGCAGUCAGAGGCGAUGAAGGACGUGCUAAUCUGCGAUAAGCGUCGGUAAGGUGAUAUGAACCGUUAUAACCGGCGAUUUCCGAAUGGGGAAACCCAGUGUGUUUCGACACACUAUCAUUAACUGAAUCCAUAGGUUAAUGAGGCGAACCGGGGGAACUGAAACAUCUAAGUACCCCGAGGAAAAGAAAUCAACCGAGAUUCCCCCAGUAGCGGCGAGCGAACGGGGAGCAGCCCAGAGCCUGAAUCAGUGUGUGUGUUAGUGGAAGCGUCUGGAAAGGCGCGCGAUACAGGGUGACAGCCCCGUACACAAAAAUGCACAUGCUGUGAGCUCGAUGAGUAGGGCGGGACACGUGGUAUCCUGUCUGAAUAUGGGGGACCAUCCUCCAAGGCUAAAUACUCCUGACUGACCGAUAGUGAACCAGUACCGUGAGGGAAAGGCGAAAAGAACCCCGGCGAGGGGAGUGAAAAAGAACCUGAAACCGUGUACGUACAAGCAGUGGGAGCACGCUUAGGCGUGUGACUGCGUACCUUUUGUAUAAUGGGUCAGCGACUUAUAUUCUGUAGCAAGGUUAACCGAAUAGGGGAGCCGAAGGGAAACCGAGUCUUAACUGGGCGUUAAGUUGCAGGGUAUAGACCCGAAACCCGGUGAUCUAGCCAUGGGCAGGUUGAAGGUUGGGUAACACUAACUGGAGGACCGAACCGACUAAUGUUGAAAAAUUAGCGGAUGACUUGUGGCUGGGGGUGAAAGGCCAAUCAAACCGGGAGAUAGCUGGUUCUCCCCGAAAGCUAUUUAGGUAGCGCCUCGUGAAUUCAUCUCCGGGGGUAGAGCACUGUUUCGGCAAGGGGGUCAUCCCGACUUACCAACCCGAUGCAAACUGCGAAUACCGGAGAAUGUUAUCACGGGAGACACACGGCGGGUGCUAACGUCCGUCGUGAAGAGGGAAACAACCCAGACCGCCAGCUAAGGUCCCAAAGUCAUGGUUAAGUGGGAAACGAUGUGGGAAGGCCCAGACAGCCAGGAUGUUGGCUUAGAAGCAGCCAUCAUUUAAAGAAAGCGUAAUAGCUCACUGGUCGAGUCGGCCUGCGCGGAAGAUGUAACGGGGCUAAACCAUGCACCGAAGCUGCGGCAGCGACGCUUAUGCGUUGUUGGGUAGGGGAGCGUUCUGUAAGCCUGCGAAGGUGUGCUGUGAGGCAUGCUGGAGGUAUCAGAAGUGCGAAUGCUGACAUAAGUAACGAUAAAGCGGGUGAAAAGCCCGCUCGCCGGAAGACCAAGGGUUCCUGUCCAACGUUAAUCGGGGCAGGGUGAGUCGACCCCUAAGGCGAGGCCGAAAGGCGUAGUCGAUGGGAAACAGGUUAAUAUUCCUGUACUUGGUGUUACUGCGAAGGGGGGACGGAGAAGGCUAUGUUGGCCGGGCGACGGUUGUCCCGGUUUAAGCGUGUAGGCUGGUUUUCCAGGCAAAUCCGGAAAAUCAAGGCUGAGGCGUGAUGACGAGGCACUACGGUGCUGAAGCAACAAAUGCCCUGCUUCCAGGAAAAGCCUCUAAGCAUCAGGUAACAUCAAAUCGUACCCCAAACCGACACAGGUGGUCAGGUAGAGAAUACCAAGGCGCUUGAGAGAACUCGGGUGAAGGAACUAGGCAAAAUGGUGCCGUAACUUCGGGAGAAGGCACGCUGAUAUGUAGGUGAAGCGACUUGCUCGUGGAGCUGAAAUCAGUCGAAGAUACCAGCUGGCUGCAACUGUUUAUUAAAAACACAGCACUGUGCAAACACGAAAGUGGACGUAUACGGUGUGACGCCUGCCCGGUGCCGGAAGGUUAAUUGAUGGGGUUAGCGCAAGCGAAGCUCUUGAUCGAAGCCCCGGUAAACGGCGGCCGUAACUAUAACGGUCCUAAGGUAGCGAAAUUCCUUGUCGGGUAAGUUCCGACCUGCACGAAUGGCGUAAUGAUGGCCAGGCUGUCUCCACCCGAGACUCAGUGAAAUUGAACUCGCUGUGAAGAUGCAGUGUACCCGCGGCAAGACGGAAAGACCCCGUGAACCUUUACUAUAGCUUGACACUGAACAUUGAGCCUUGAUGUGUAGGAUAGGUGGGAGGCUUAGAAGUGUGGACGCCAGUCUGCAUGGAGCCGACCUUGAAAUACCACCCUUUAAUGUUUGAUGUUCUAACGUUGACCCGUAAUCCGGGUUGCGGACAGUGUCUGGUGGGUAGUUUGACUGGGGCGGUCUCCUCCUAAAGAGUAACGGAGGAGCACGAAGGUUGGCUAAUCCUGGUCGGACAUCAGGAGGUUAGUGCAAUGGCAUAAGCCAGCUUGACUGCGAGCGUGACGGCGCGAGCAGGUGCGAAAGCAGGUCAUAGUGAUCCGGUGGUUCUGAAUGGAAGGGCCAUCGCUCAACGGAUAAAAGGUACUCCGGGGAUAACAGGCUGAUACCGCCCAAGAGUUCAUAUCGACGGCGGUGUUUGGCACCUCGAUGUCGGCUCAUCACAUCCUGGGGCUGAAGUAGGUCCCAAGGGUAUGGCUGUUCGCCAUUUAAAGUGGUACGCGAGCUGGGUUUAGAACGUCGUGAGACAGUUCGGUCCCUAUCUGCCGUGGGCGCUGGAGAACUGAGGGGGGCUGCUCCUAGUACGAGAGGACCGGAGUGGACGCAUCACUGGUGUUCGGGUUGUCAUGCCAAUGGCACUGCCCGGUAGCUAAAUGCGGAAGAGAUAAGUGCUGAAAGCAUCUAAGCACGAAACUUGCCCCGAGAUGAGUUCUCCCUGACCCUUUAAGGGUCCUGAAGGAACGUUGAAGACGACGACGUUGAUAGGCCGGGUGUGUAAGCGCAGCGAUGCGUUGAGCUAACCGGUACUAAUGAACCGUGAGGCUUAACCUU
RNAcentral lists this ribosomal RNA (2903 nucleotides) under Escherichia coli. Its description in RNAcentral is "23S ribosomal RNA". It matches the Rfam family "Bacterial large subunit ribosomal RNA". Lineage: Bacteria; Pseudomonadati; Pseudomonadota; Gammaproteobacteria; Enterobacterales; Enterobacteriaceae. The record is from RNAcentral.